Triticum urartu is the source of this 496-nucleotide non-coding RNA. NCBI's taxonomy places the organism in Eukaryota, Viridiplantae, Streptophyta, Magnoliopsida, Poales, Poaceae. The record is from RefSeq and is a predicted model, not a curated record.
GUAUUUCAGGCUUUUUGUGAUGGACCAACAAACAAAGUGAGAGCAAGAAUGUAUGUUACUUCAACAAUUAUAUUUGGAUCAGUGUUCUGGCGAAUGGGGAAAACUCAAACUUCCAUACAAGAUAGGAUGGGACUUCUUCAGGUGGCUGCCAUAAACACAGCAAUGGCUGCUCUGACAAAGACGGUGGGGGUUUUCCCGAAAGAACGAGCUAUAGUUGACAGGAACGUGCAAAGGGUUCCUAUGCACUAGGACCAUAUCUCUCUUCUAAGAUGCUGGCCGAGAUUCCGAUUGGAGCAGCAUUUCCAUUGAUAUUUGGAUCCAUUCUCUAUCCAAUGGCUAAACUUCAUCCUACAGUUUCUAGCCAUUCUUGGAAGAAUGCAACUGCAGCUUAAUUGGAGUUGAACUGGAGGUAACAUUUGGAAUUACUUGGAAGUUGGAACACAAGUGGAGUGUGUUAUGACGAUUGCUCAAAGGAACUUUGGUCAUAUUGCUUGAC